This 1767-nucleotide unclassified non-coding RNA is filed under the name Hevea brasiliensis (rubber tree). The record is from RNAcentral. Lineage: Eukaryota; Viridiplantae; Streptophyta; Magnoliopsida; Malpighiales; Euphorbiaceae.
GUGCUCUACAUCAAGGACAACCUCAAGAUCUCAUCAACACAAGUGGAGAUCUUGGUGGGUUGCCUAAAUGUAUGUUCACUUAUUGGAUCACUUGCAUCGGGUAGAACUUCUGACUACAUUGGCAGACGUUAUACCAUUGUUCUGGCUGCAGCCACGUUCCUUGUUGGUGCACUUUUAAUGGGACUGGCACCAUCUUUCAUAUUUCUAAUGGCUGGAAGGGUAGUUGCUGGCAUUGGUGUUGGCUACUCCCUAAUGAUCGCUCCAGUCUAUACUGCAGAGCUCUCCCCAGCCACGACUCGAGGCUUCCUAUCCUCCCUCCCUGAAGUCUUCAUUAAUAUUGGAAUUCUACUCGGUUAUGUCUCCAACUAUGCUCUAUCGAGUCUUCCUGGGAACAUGAACUGGAGACUAAUGCUAGGACUUGCAGCUUUGCCAGCUAUAAUUGUUGCUUUUUGUGUCCUGGUGAUGCCUGAGUCCCCUCGCUGGCUUGUCAUGAAAGGCCGGUUUGGUGAUGCAAAGCAAGUCUUGAUAAAAACUUCAGACUCAAAGGAGGAAGCAGAAUUGAGAUUAGCUGAAAUGAUAAAAGCUGCCAAGGACUUGACCCCAGGAGCUGCUUCAAGCAAUUGGCGUGGGCAGGGUGCUUGGAGAGAGUUAUUGUGUAGACCUUCUCGCCCCAUUCGCCGUAUUCUCAUUGCUGCAAUUGGAGUUAACUUCUUCAUGCAGGCUUCAGGUAAUGAUGCUGUUGUGUAUUACAGCCCUGAAGUGUUCAAAGACGCUGGAAUCCAGAGCAGGCGACAGCUUGUAGGGGUUACAGUGAUCAUGGGAAUAGCCAAAACAUUCUUUGUUUUGGUUUCAGCUCUUUUCUUGGACCGGUUUGGGAGGAGGCCCCUCUUGUUGUUGGGAUCAACUGGGAUGGCUGCUUCAUUGGCUGCCCUGGGUGUGGGCUCAAUGUAUCUCGAGCAGUCAGCUGACAAGCCCGUGUGGGCCAUUGCAUUGUGUAUAGUGGCAGUAUGUGCUGAUGUAUCCUUCUUUUCAAUUGGGCUUGGUCCAGUCACUUGGGUGUACUCGUCAGAGAUAUUUCCUAUGAGAUUAAGGGCCCAAGGUUCAAGCUUGGCAAUAUCAGUCAACAGGUUGGUUAGUGGGAUUGUUGCCAUGACAUUUCUAAGCAUUUCCAAGCUAAUCUCAUUUGGAGGAAUGUUCUUCUCACUAGCAGGAAUUAUGGUAGUGGGUACAGUUUUCUUUUAUUUCUUCUUGCCUGAAACUAAAGGCAAGACCUUGGAAGAGAUUGGGGUUCUCUUUGAAGAUAAAAUCUCUGAGAAUCAAAUACACUUUGUUUCUUAACUAAAAAAUGCAUGCAUUUUCAAUUCCUUUUGCCUUGCAAACUUGGAAAAUAAAAAGCCUAAAACUUGAGGGGACUUAUAUGAGUUGGAAUUUGAAUAAGCUGGUCAGGUCAGGAAUUGUUUUUGCCUUUGUAUGAAAUGAUAGGUAUGGGAGAUCAGUAAACUGUGGGAGAAUAGUCCAUUCUAUAAAUUGGAAUUCUCGUUUGCCAAUACCUUGAGCACAGCUUGUUUUGUGACUUGUGAGCGAGGAUCUAUGGUCCCAAAUCCCAAUAAACUAUUGCUUUUCCAUCCCCAUCUUGAAGCAUUAGCAUGUUAUCACCGAGCUACUUUUCACUUUUCAGUGAAUUCCGUUUGCAUGUCCAUGAUUUUUUAUUCAACUUUUCAGUGUCAGACAAAUACUUACACCUUUUAUAUUAAAAUUUUGUUGUCA